This 252-nucleotide ribosomal RNA is filed under the name uncultured bacterium. RNAcentral describes it as "partial 16S ribosomal RNA". It matches the Rfam family "Bacterial small subunit ribosomal RNA", at positions 524 to 776 of the family's 1533-position model. The record is from RNAcentral.
UACGUAGGUCCCGAGCGUUGUCCGGAUUUAUUGGGCGUAAAGCGAGCACAGGUGGUUUAUUAAGUCUGGUGUAAAAGGCAGUGGCUCAACCAUUGUAUGCAUUGGAAACUGGUAGACUUGAGCGCAGGAGAGGAGAGUGGAAUUCCAUGUGUAGCGGUGAAAUGCGUAGAUAUAUGGAGGAACACCGGUGGCGAAAGCGGCUCUCUGGCCUGUAACUGACACUGAGGCUCGAAAGCGUGGGGAGCAAACAGG